Molecule: ribosomal RNA, 301 nt
Filed under: uncultured bacterium
Lineage: Bacteria
Description: partial 16S ribosomal RNA
Rfam family: Bacterial small subunit ribosomal RNA
Source: RNAcentral
CAGUCGCCACGGUAAUACGAAGGGGGCUAGCGUUGUUCGGAAUUACUGGGCGUAAAGCGCACGUAGGCGGAUAUUUAAGUCAGGGGUGAAAUCCCGCAGCUCAACUGCGGAACUGCCUUUGAUACUGGGUAUCUUGAGUAUGGAAGAGGUUAGUGGAAUUGCGAGUGUAGAGGUGAAAUUCGUAGAUAUUCGCAGGAACACCAGUGGCGAAGGCGGCUAACUGGUCCAUAACUGACGCUGAGGUGCGAAAGCGUGGGGAGCAAACAGGAUUAGAUACCCGGGUAGUCCCUGUCUCUUAUAC